RNAcentral lists this microRNA precursor (97 nucleotides) under Paramuricea clavata. The record is from RNAcentral. Lineage: Eukaryota; Metazoa; Cnidaria; Anthozoa; Malacalcyonacea; Plexauridae.
GGACGGUUCGAGUAAGUGAUAUUUCGGAACAGUAUCUAGUUCCUUCAAUACCAAUUGAAGGAACUAGAUACUGUUCCGAAAUAUCACUUACUCGAUU